This is a non-coding RNA of Oenanthe melanoleuca, 477 nucleotides long. The record is from the annotation of a RefSeq genome assembly. NCBI's taxonomy places the organism in Eukaryota, Metazoa, Chordata, Aves, Passeriformes, Muscicapidae.
AUGGCCUCGAGCUCCCUCCCGCUCCUCGCCCUCCUGGCCCUGCUGGCCCUGCCAGGGCUCCGGGCGGCCGUGACCCUGCUGGAGUCCGGGGGGGACCUCCAGCCCCCCGGGGGGUCCCUGACUCUGCUCUGCCGCGCCUCUGGGUUCAGUUUCGGUGAUUAUCGAAUGUUCUGGAUCCGCCAGAGCCCCGGGAAGGGUCUGGAAUUUGUCGCCAGCAUCACUGAUUUUGGCAGGAUAGGUGAACACACCACAUACGCGCCGUCGAUGCAGGGCUGGGCCUCGAUCUCCAGGGACAACGGGCAGAGCUCGGUGACGCUGACCAUGAACAACCUCAAGGACGAGGAUUCUGGAGUUUAUUUCUGUGCCAGAUGUUUCGGCAGUGUUCGUUAUGGUGGGGAUGGCGGUGCUGGUAUCGGUGCUGGUUACGAUGCUGGAAACGCCUUCCCGGGUCUCUGGCACACCCAGUUCAUGGCGUAA